This 435-nucleotide ribosomal RNA is filed under the name Abiotrophia defectiva. Its description in RNAcentral is "bacterial SSU rRNA". It matches the Rfam family "Bacterial small subunit ribosomal RNA", at positions 28 to 440 of the family's 1533-position model. Lineage: Bacteria; Bacillati; Bacillota; Bacilli; Lactobacillales; Aerococcaceae. The record is from RNAcentral.
GACGAACGCUGGCGGCGUGCCUAAUACAUGCAAGUCAAACGAACCGCGACCGAGUGCUUGCACUUGGUCAAGGUGAGUGGCGAACGGGUGAGUAACACGUGGGUAACCUACCUCAUAGUGGGGGAUAACAGUCGGAAACGACUGCUAAUACCGCAUAGGACAUGGAAUCGCAUGAUUCUGUGAGGAAAGGUGGCGCAAGCUAUCGCUAAGAGAUGGACCCGCGGUGCAUUAGCUAGUUGGUAGGGUAACGGCCUACCAAGGCGAUGAUGCAUAGCCGACCUGAGAGGGUGAUCGGCCACAUUGGGACUGAGACACGGCCCAAACUCCUACGGGAGGCAGCAGUAGGGAAUCUUCCGCAAUGGACGCAAGUCUGACGGAGCAAACGCCCGCGUGAGUGAAAGAAAGGUCUUUCGGAUCGUAAAAGCUUCUGUUGGU